UUUGAAAUCUGGUACCUUCGGUGCCCGAGUUGUAAUUUGUAGAGGGCGACUUUGGGGCGGCUCCUUGUCUAUGUUCCUUGGAACAGGACGUCAUAGAGGGUGAGAAUCCCGUGUGGCGAGGAGUGCGGUUCCGUGUAAAGCGCUCUCGAAGAGUCGAGUUGUUUGGGAAUGCAGCUCUAAGUGGGUGGUAAAUUCCAUCUAAAGCUAAAUAUUGGCGAGAGACCGAUAGCGAACAAGUACAGUGAUGGAAAGAUGAAAAGAACUUUGAAAAGAGAGUGAAAAAGUACGUGAAAUUGUUGAAAGGGAAGGGCAUUUGAUCAGACAUGGUGUUUUGCGCCCCCCGCUCCUCGUGGGUGGGGGACUCUCGCAGCUCACUGGGCCAGCAUCAGUUUUGGCGGCCGGACAAAACUGCAGGAACGUAGCUUGCUUCGGGAAGUGUUACAGCCUGCAGGAAUACGGCCAGCCGGGACUGAGGAAUGCGAUUCUUCAAGGAUGCUGGCAUAAU
Molecule: ribosomal RNA, 505 nt
Filed under: Maudiozyma humilis
Lineage: Eukaryota; Fungi; Ascomycota; Saccharomycetes; Saccharomycetales; Saccharomycetaceae
Description: eukaryotic LSU rRNA
Rfam family: Eukaryotic large subunit ribosomal RNA
Source: RNAcentral